Long non-coding RNA from Xenopus tropicalis (tropical clawed frog), 621 nucleotides. RefSeq lists it as uncharacterized. Lineage: Eukaryota; Metazoa; Chordata; Amphibia; Anura; Pipidae. The transcript is spliced from 2 exons. The record is from RefSeq and is a predicted model, not a curated record.
UGCCGCCAGGUCUUAAAGUGAGAGGACCAGGACAAAGGUUCUGGGUAAGCAAGGGAACCAGAUCAUUUGAAAAGGACUGAAGGAGCUUACUAGAAUCAGUCAGGCAGGCCAGCUCAAAACCAGAACAGUAGCGCGGUACAGAAUCAGGAUCGAGAAGAGAAGUCAAACAGGCAAGGGGUCAGUCCAGGCGGAGUUCUCUCAAAGUCAGGAUAGUGGCAUGGAUCGGAAUCAAAUACACAGAAUAGCAGCACACCCAGGAACUUUACUAGAAAGACCUAUAACGGGCAAUGACUGGGUGCAGAGCAAAGGGUUAUAUAGGCAGGUUGAUAGUUAACACAGAGUACCUGUGACCUGAUUAACAACAGGUGAAGCUAACCGUGCCUACAUGAAUAUAUGUUAAUAGCAAGGAACCAGGACCAUAGCUAUCUGCUCAAAUAGAGCAGUGGUAAAAGAUACCACACAACAACCUUCAGGUCACUGGUUCAAUUCCAGGCAGGCUGUUACAGCUUUACACAGUAUAACUCAAGCGCUUCCAUUAGUUAAUAAAAUGCUUAGUAAGUUAGAUGACUAUUUGCUGCUAUGUGAAAAGAAAUGAGUGUAGAUAAAAAGUAAUUAUUUGUA